GAAGGAUGUCAGUGACUCAACACCUAAGAGAAAGUGAUCACUUCAUGGGUGGUUUGAAAACUGAGCAAACCACCAUGAGGAGAGGAAGGCAGUUGGCUUCCCAGAGGCUAGAGUAGCCUCUGGGUGACAGCCAGCGAGGAGCUGGGGACUUCGUCACUACUGCCUCCAAAAUUGAAUUUUACUAACAGCAAGAACAACAGUAGGAAAAAGCAACAAACAAUCUCAGAAGCGGAUUUUUCUCUGGAGCAUUCCGAAGAGAACUCACUGUGGCUGGACUCUGUUAUUUUAUAAUCUGAUCAAGGACCUCAGUCAUUGGCCAAGCUUCUAAACUACUUAAUGGUGUGGCAAUGAAUGAUUGCUAAAUUUUUGGUCAUUUCAAUCAAAAACGAAAGAAAUGUACUGCUCUUGGGUUGUCCGGGCAGUACUGUGGGCAGAGAUUCUUGACAGUAAGACAUUUGUGCUUUAUAAGUGUCCACUGCGGAGGUCUGUCCUGGGCACUAGAAAGUGUCUAGCAGCAUUCCUGGCCUCUAUCCUCUGCCUGCCAAGAAUAACCAAAGAACAACCAGAAAUGGGCCUCAUUAAAAUAAGAAUUGAAGAUGAUCUAUUCUAUACUACAAUAGAGGAAGAUGAGUUUAGAGGACUCAGACUUCUAAUAGAGUAACCUCUGAGUGUAGAAGAGACAACUUUCUAUACAGCAGAGUAGACAAAAAUAUAUGGCUGGAAUGAAGACCCUGAGAACAGUGAUGAAGAUGAGACAUGGAAAUCUUACUCAACAGGUCAAGUGGAGAGAAAUUCCGAGGCAAAUGAUGUUAGCAACUACACAACAAAGAGGACCUGUGUAUAUGAAUUAAACUACUAUAUGAAGCAACAAAUCCGAUAAUCCUGAAAUCUCAGAAUGUUCUUGUAUUAUUUCUUUAUCGUGGUAGAAGUUCCUCCUAUAUAGCCCCAGAGAAAUCCUAAUCUUUAUAGGUCAUUUGGGGUGAUUUUGACCACUUUCACUGACCUCUACUUGAGUGGACAAG
RNAcentral lists this long non-coding RNA (1022 nucleotides) under Chinchilla lanigera (long-tailed chinchilla). RNAcentral describes it as "lncRNA (ENSCLAG00000024151.1)". The record is from RNAcentral. Lineage: Eukaryota; Metazoa; Chordata; Mammalia; Rodentia; Chinchillidae.